AUUGAACGCUGGCGGCAGGCCUAACACAUGCAAGUCGAGCGGAUGAAGGGAGCUUGCUCCUGGAUUCAGCGGCGGACGGGUGAGUAAUGCCUAGGAAUCUGCCUGGUAGUGGGGGAUAACGUCCGGAAACGGGCGCUAAUACCGCAUACGUCCUGAGGGAGAAAGUGGGGGAUCUUCGGACCUCACGCUAUCAGAUGAGCCUAGGUCGGAUUAGCUAGUUGGUGGGGUAAAGGCCUACCAAGGCGACGAUCCGUAACUGGUCUGAGAGGAUGAUCAGUCACCCUGGAACUGAGACACGGUCCAGACUCCUACGGCAGGCAGCAGUGGGGAAUAUUGGACAAUGGGCGAAAGCCUGAUCCAGCCAUGCCGCGUGUGUGAAGAAGGUCUUCGGAUUGUAAAGCACUUUAAGUUGGGAGGAAGGGCAGUAAGUUAAUACCUUGCUGUUUUGACGUUACCAACAGAAUAAGCACCGGCUAACUUCGUG
Molecule: ribosomal RNA, 484 nt
Filed under: uncultured bacterium
Lineage: Bacteria
Description: partial 16S ribosomal RNA
Rfam family: Bacterial small subunit ribosomal RNA
Source: RNAcentral